AAUCCAGCCAUACCGCGUGUGUGAAGAAGGCCUUCGGGUUGUAAAGCACUUUAAGCAGGGAGAAAAAGUUAUAAGUUAAUACCUUAUAACCCUGAUGUUACCUGCAGAAUAAGCACCGGCUAAUUCCGUGCCAGCAGCCGCGGUAAUACGGAAGGUGCAAGCGUUAAUCGGAAUUACUGGGCGUAAAGCGCGCGUAGGUGGUUUGUUAAGUUGGAUGUGAAAGCCCUGGGCUCAACCUAGGAACUGCAUCCAAAACUAACUCACUAGAGUACGAUAGAGGGAGGUAGAAUUCAUAGUGUAGCGGUGGAAUGCGUAGAUAUUAUGAAGAAUACCAGUGGCGAAGGCGGCCUCCUGGAUCUGUACUGACACUGAGGUGCGAAAGCGUGGGUAGCGAACAGGAUUAGAUACCCUGGUAGUCCACGCCGUAAACGAUGACAACUAGCUGUUGGGAGACUAUGUCUUUCAGUGGCGCAGCUAACGCUUUAAGUUGUCCGCCUGGGGAGUACGGCCGCAAGGCUAAAACUCAAAUGAAUUGACGGGGACCCGCACAAGCGGUGGAGCAUGUGGUUUAAUUCGAUGCAACGCGAAAAACCUUACCUACUCUUGACAUACUUGGGAGCUCUUGUAAUGAGAGUGUGCCUUAUGGAACCAAGAUACAGGUGCUGCAUGGCUGUCGUCAGCUCGUGUCGUGAGAUGUUCCGUUAAGUCGGAUAACGAGCGCAACCCUUACCCUUAUUUGCCAGCGAUUCGGUCGGGAACUAUAAGGGGACUGCCGGUGAUAAACCGGAGGAAGGUGAGGACGACGUCAAGUCAUCAUGGCCCUUACGAGUAGGGCUACACACGUGCUACAAUGGGGA
This 857-nucleotide ribosomal RNA is filed under the name uncultured Gammaproteobacteria bacterium. RNAcentral describes it as "bacterial SSU rRNA". It matches the Rfam family "Bacterial small subunit ribosomal RNA", at positions 385 to 1236 of the family's 1533-position model. Lineage: Bacteria; Pseudomonadati; Pseudomonadota; Gammaproteobacteria. The record is from RNAcentral.